GACGAACGCUGGCGGCGUGCCUAAUACAUGCAAGUAGAACGCUGAAGGAGGAGCUUGCUUCUCUGGAUGAGUUGCGAACGGGUGAGUAACGCGUAGGUAACCUGCCUGGUAGCGGGGGAUAACUAUCGGAAACGAUAGCUAAUACCGCACAAUAGCAGUUGUUGCAUGAUAACUGUUUGAAAGGUGCAAUUGCACCACUACCAGAUGGACCUGCGUUGUAUUAGCUAGUUGGUGGGGUAACGGCUCACCAAGGCGACGAUACAUAGCCGACCUGAGAGGGUGAUCGGCCACACUGGGACUGAGACACGGCCCAGACCCCUACGGGAGGCAGCAGUAGGGAAUCUUCGGCAAUAGACGGAAGUCUGACCGAGCAACGCCGCGUGAGUGAAGAAGGUUUUCGGAUCGUAAAGCUCUGUUGUAAGAGAAGAACGAGUGUGAGAGUGGAAAGUUCACACUGUGACGGUAUCUUACCAGAAAGGGACGGCUAACUACGUG
RNAcentral lists this ribosomal RNA (495 nucleotides) under uncultured bacterium. RNAcentral's name for it is "partial 16S ribosomal RNA". It matches the Rfam family "Bacterial small subunit ribosomal RNA", at positions 28 to 507 of the family's 1533-position model. The record is from RNAcentral.